RNAcentral lists this ribosomal RNA (253 nucleotides) under uncultured bacterium. RNAcentral's name for it is "partial 16S ribosomal RNA". It matches the Rfam family "Bacterial small subunit ribosomal RNA", at positions 524 to 776 of the family's 1533-position model. The record is from RNAcentral.
UACAGAGGUCUCAAGCGUUGUUCGGAUUCAUUGGGCGUAAAGGGUGCGUAGGUGGCGCUGUAAGUCGGGUGUGAAAUUUCGGAGCUUAACUCCGAAACUGCAUUCGAUACUGCGGUGCUUGAGGACUGGAGAGGAGACUGGAAUUUACGGUGUAGCGGUGAAAUGCGUAGAGAUCAGGAAGAACACCGGUGGCGAAAGCGUUCUGCUAGACCUGUACUGACACUGAGGGACGAAAGCUAGGGGAGCGAAUGGG